CUUCAAUGAGCUCCUGCUCAGCUACCUCAACCAGCUGCUCACCAGGAUCCUCAGCAACGGGUUCUUCUACUCGCCACAAUACAAACAAUCACAGGAUAUAGGGAAAAUUAACAUUACACCAAGCAUAUAAACAAAAUACACAGAGAUAUUCUACAUAUUAAAAUAAAAUUCUAGGAACAGGAAUCAUAAUUUUUGGAGUUAUAGAAUUUAAGUUAUGCAUUUUCAAAGGUUUUAUGUGUUUAAAAAUAGGAUUAAGUGAGAAAUAAAUUUCUUACUGUUUUCAUGACAAAACAGAGGCUCUAGGUGAUAGAGAAUAAAACUACAAAAUUUUAGCAACUGGAAUGAAUUAAUUUGGACUUCAUAUACAUUUUCUAUGAAUUAUCAAAGUUCUAGCAAUUAUUUUCCUAUUGAAAAUCCAUUUAUAAAUUAUUUUCUCUGGUUUUACACUGCUCUGGACUGGGCCUCAAAAUCUGAGAACAGCAGGGGCCCAGGCGCUAAAGAUUCUAAGACUCAGAAUACUAUGUAGUGUACGGCGGGUUGAUUUCCCUAUUUCCCAGGGUCUCUUUUACAAAACGCGCGGCCGAAGGGGGACUAUCAGAUCUCGGUCGUUGGAUCAUAAGCGGACGGUGUAGAUUAGAUCAGUUUAAUCCCAAUCGGUACGCAAACGGAGCCCUCGGAUCUGAGAUCAAGGGUCCAAGUUUAUCGUACACGCGACUAGAUCCCAACCGCCCGACACUGAAUCGACGCCUCAGAUGCGCAGUUCGAAUCGGUACGCGUAGUUCUAAUCCUGGCCGUCACGCUAGGAUCGGAUGGCACAGAGGAUCUCUCCUUCCCUCGACGGCGGAGUACGGUGGUGUGCCCAGAGUACGGCGGUUCCUCGCCGGCGCCGCGCUAACCGCGAGCCCGAUGAGCAAACCACCCCGAGGAAUCGCGCAAAAUGAAAUUCACCUACUUGUUAUUUGGAUAGGGGGCGCCAUACCAAGAUUUGUCGAGGUGGUGAUGCCACCCACGAUGCAUCGCACAUUUGCGGCGGAAACGAAGCUCCAGCGGCGAAUUCAGGCCGCCCCCGCGGUCGAUCCUUCCUCGGAUGGCCGCGAAACCUUCAGUCGACAACCCGCAAAGCCCUUGGACACCACUCGAGUGACAGGCCUUUAGGCGAAGACGACUACGGCACUUGCAGACGAUUUCUACCCCGCCCCACUCUCUCUGCACACGCACGUUGUCAGGCCGGAGCUCCGAUAACUUGAUACGGAAAAGGGGAAACGCUUGGGGAGGUGCGGAUGGAGCGGAGGUCGGGCGAGGGGCUCGGCUUCGGCUAUUUGAAGGGUGGUUCACGUCCAGCUGAGCUCCACGCCGGCUGCAGAGGUUGCAACCACCCACGCGAAGCUUACGGCGCGCGUGAAGGAGACGACCCGUGGAUGUGGUUAGCUGGAUGACAGCGGCCGGACCCGCAGAUCAGUGGCGCCAGCGCGCGUGAGAUUUAACUGGGCUACGCGGGGAUAGAAGCCAAAUGGGCCGAAAUGGAGCAGAAGCGGCCCAGUAGCACGAUUUCUCUUUUCCCUUUAUUCUUUUCUGGUUUCUUUUCCCUUUUUUUUGUUUUUUUUUUAGAAUUCAAAUUUGAAUUCGAAUUUGGUCCUGAAAUCCAUCAAUGAUAAAAGUGCACCAAGUUCAAAUUUUUGGAGUAUAGAAGUACUUUCUUAUUUAUAUAUUUUAUUCUACCUUAUUUGUUUAGUGGUGUUUUCUCUUUUCUCAAUUUUCAAGAAUUCCCUUUUAAAGCUUAAAUAGCCCUUUUUGGUAUUAAUAUAUUUCUUUUCUCUUUAUUUUUAUAUUGUCACAAAAUGCAUACACACAAAAAUAAUAUCCAGCAUGAUGCAUAAUUUAUUUGAGUGUCUUUUGUUAAUUAUUUAUUUGUUUAAUUGUGGUGUUCACAUGAAAUGAGAAACAUAGAUAACUCAUAUAUGUAUACGGAAUACAAUUUCUCUGCUUAGACUCUGUUUACAAAGUGGGUGUUACAAAUCCUACCCCCCUUAAAAAUAAUCUCGUCCCCGAGAUUUAAGAAGAACUAGAGAAAAGGUAGGGAAAAUCUAUGCGAAGCUCUUCUUCUCUUUCCCAAGUCGCUUCAUCUUCGCCAUGGUGACUCCAUUGCACUUUGCACAUCUUUAUCACCUUGUUUCUUGUAAUUCGAGUCAAUGUGUCAAGAAUCUUGAUAGGAUACUCCGUGUAAGUCAAAUCACCUUGAACACUAAGCUCUUCCAUUGGUAACUGUUCCUCAGGGACACGGAGACACUUCUUUAGUUGAGAUACGUGGAACACGUUAUGCACAUCCGAUAGACUAUCCGGUAACUCGAGUUGGUAUGCAACCUCUCCCACUUGCUUUAAGAUUAAAAAGGGUCCAAUAAAACGAGGGGACAAUUUGCCCUUAACUUUGAAUCUCCUCAUUCCACGAAGUGGUGACACCUUGAGGUACACAUAAUCUCCUUCUUCAAAUUCCAGUGGUCUUCUUCUAUUAUCAGCGUAGCUCUUUUGCCUGGUUUGAGCCACUCUCAAAUUCUCUCGAAUUAUACGAACUUGUUCUUCUGCUUCUUGAAUCAGUUCAGGCCCAAAGAACUGUCUCUCUCCAGUCUGAUCCCAAUACAAAGGAGUUCUGCACUUCCUCCCAUAUAAAGCUUCAAAAGGUGACAUCUUCAGACUGGCCUGGUAACUAUUAUUAUACGAGAACUCAGCAUAAGGCAGACUCUUAUCCCAACUUCCUCCAUGCUGAAGGGCACAAGCUCUCAACAUAUCUUCCAAUACUUGAUUAGUCCUUUCAGUCUGUCCAUCAGUCUAACGAUGGCAGGUCGAACUAAAAUUUAACUUCAUAACCAUAUUCUCAUGAAAACUUUUCCAAAAUCUGGAGGUAAAAUGUGAACCUCGAUCAGACACGAUCUUCUUUGGCACUCCAUGUAAACACACAAUCCGAGCCAUAUAUAACUCUGCUAGCUGAGAACCUUUAUAAGUAGUCUUCACAGGAAUAAAGUGAGCCACUUUAGUCAAUCUAUCCACAAUCACCCAUAUAGCAUCAUAUCCUUUCUGGGUGCGAGGCAAUCCAGUAAUGAAAUCCAUACCAAUCUCUUCCCACUUCCACUCGGGUAUCUUCAGUGGAUGUAAUAAUCCAGCUGGCCUCUGAUGUUCAGCCUUAACUCUUUGACAUACUUUGCACAUAGCCACAUGUGCAACCGCAUCUCUUUUCAAUCCAUACCACCAGUACUUUUGCUUCAAAUCCUGAUACAUCUUAGUGCUCCCAGGGUGGAUAGAAUAAACUGAAUCAUGUGCCUCCUUCAAUAUGGUUUCCCGAAGACUAUCAAUAUCGGGAACACAGAUCCGAUUCUUGAACCAUAUCGUGCCUUGUUCAUCCUCCGUGAACUCCGGGCCUCUACCCUCUGUUAUCAGAUCCUUGAUCUCUUGAAUCUUAGCAUCACCAACCUGACCCUUACGAAUCUCUUGCUCCAAGGUAGGUUCCAAUUCAAUAGUCACUCCUUCCGUAUGUGUAACAAUUCCCAGGUUGAGUCUCUCAAAAUCUUUUGCUAAUUCAUCAGGUAGCUGGACAACGAAAGCGGAGUGAACAUGUUCCUUCCGACUCAAGGCAUCUGCAACCAAAUUUGCCUUGCCUGGGUGAUAGUGAAUCUCCAAAUCAUAAUCUUUAAUGAGCUCCAACCAACGGCGUUGCCUAAGGUUGAGAUCCUUUUGAGUGAAUAUGUACUUCAAACUCUUGUGAUCCGUGUAUACUUGGCACUUAGUUCUCAUAAUGUAGUGUCUCCAAAUCUUCAGUGCAUGCACAACUGCUGCCAAUUCCAAGUCAUGAGUGGGGUAAUUCAAUUCAUGUUUCCGCAACUGACGAGAUGCAUAGGCGAUCACAUGACCAUCUUGCAUAAGCACACAUCCAAGUCCUUGGCCACAUGCAUCACAGUAAAUAUCAAAUCCCUUCUGCAGAUCUGGCAUAAUCAAUACUGGAGGUGACAUCAAUCUCUCCUUCAAUUGAUCAAAGCUCUCUUGGCACUUCUCAUCCCACUUGAAUUCUCUUCCUUUCUCCAAAAGCGAUGUCAUGGGCUUAGCAAUCUUAGAAAAUCCUUCAAUAAAUCUCCGAUAAUAUCCUGCGAGUCCCAAGAAACUCCGGACCUCAGUAACUGUAGUGGGAAUGUUCCACGCCAUAAUAUCCUUGACUUUAGCAGGAUCCACUGAUAUCCCUCCAUUAGAAAUGAUAUGUCCGAGGAAUGACACCUCAUCAAUCCAAAACUCGCACUUGCUGAACUUAGCAUAGAGUUGAUUAUCUCGUAACUUCUGUAGCACCAACCUCAGAUGUUCCUCAUGAUCAUUAUCACUCUGAGAAUAACUGAGAAUAUCGUCGAUGAAUACCACGACGAAUCUGUCCAAAUACUCCAUAAACACUUUGUUCAUCAAGUUCAUAAAAUAAGCUGGUGCAUUGGUUAAUCCAAACGACAUAACAGUAAACUCAUAUAAUCCAUAUCGAGUCGAGAAAGCCGUCUUGGGGAUAUCCGAUGGUCUAAUCCUCAUCUGAUGGUAACCCGAUCGGAGAUCAAUCUUCGAAAAUACUCUUGCACCUCUCAUCUGAUCAAAUAAAUCCUCAAUACGGGGCAAUGGAUACUUGUUCUUCACUGUAACAUCAUUAAGAGAUCUAUAAUCCACACACAUCCCUUGCGAUCCUUCUUUCUUCUGUACAAUUAGAACCGGCGCUCCACAAGGUGAAGAAUUCGGACGAAUGUACCCAUCCUCUUGUAAUUCCAUUAAUUGCUCCUUAAGUUUCUUUAGUUCUUCUACGAACAUCCUGUAUGGCCGUUUGAAAGUAGGGGCAGUUCCAGGUAAGAGAUCUAUGACAAACCCAACUUCCGUAUCUGGUGGCAUCCCUGGUAACUCCUCUGGAAAGACAUCCGGAAAAUCCUUAACCACACGGAUGUUGUCACCAACAAACUUCCCAUCGACUAAGAAUGCCGCUAGUUUGGUGGCGGUAGUUACUGCAAUUCCAACUUCAAAUCUUUCUCCUUUGGAACUGGUGAGUUCUAUGGUUCCUUAGCACAGUGCAUAUACUGCCUUUGCCUUUCUUAACCAUGACAUACCAAGGAUCAUGUCUAUAGUGCUCUCUUCUAACACUAUAGGGGUAGCCCAUCUGGGUUAGAAACACAGGGGACGAAAGAAAGGAUUGUAGACAAGGCAGUGAUUACGAAGCAUGUUACUUUGGGGGAUUUAUUAGCUAAGUGUGUCACCUACUAAAGCUAAUUCAUUACCUUAUCGUGGUACAUGCUAAGAUGCCCGUCUAUACUAUUUCAAUCAAUCAAAGAAGCAAAUCAGGCAUUGAUCAUCAGAACAAUCAACCAACAUUUUUAAUAGAGAAAAUAAUUUUAAUUUUUGUCUUAGGCCUCCUAUCUCCUAAGAAUGUCAUAAACGUAGGAUUCCAAGGUGUGAAAUCCAUCUUGUCUCAGAGUAGAAAAGGUAAGAAUGAUCAGAGUAGAACAGUAGAAGGUGAGACAGGAUCAAGUUAAGUAUAGAAAGAAUCAGAGUAAGGUAAGUAUAGAAUGAAUCAGAAUGAGAUAAGUAGGUAAGGGUUGUCCAUUUCUAUCUAGGUUUCGUCCUACAGUCAACAUUUCCUCUGAUACCACUUCUGUAACACCCGGUUUUAAAGAACAAAGCCGGGUGCAUCUCAUACAUGCGCCAAAGAAGACAACAUAUAUAAUAACAGAGUGUAUAGAGAUAAAUGUCAUAAAACAUCAGAGUAUUUAUUACAUAGCGGAAGACUUAUUACAAGAUAAAAGUGUAACAUAAAACGAACUAAGGAUCGUCGGCGCCAAUGUCGACUGAGAAACGCCACCUAGAUCAGAUCAUACUCCUCGCCUUGUGGCUCCUCCUGAACCACCUGUUCUUCUCCUGUGGGGGGUGUGAGACAGCAAGAGUGAGCUCACAUACGUUCAUCGCUCAACAAGUUGUGGGGAAUAAUGUGGCAUGAACUCACCAAAGGUGGGAGUUCAUGUAGUGUAAGGCUGAUCAAUGGAAUAAAGGCUGAGGCUGAGCAUUGCUUUUAUAAGUUGGUCAAAAUUUUAUUAGCAAUUACUAAGUGUAAGUAAAUACCAAACCUUAAUAAUAAUAAAGAACAAUAAUAGUAAAAUAAUCCCAAAUGCGAUGCAAAUGUCAAAUUGAAUUUAAGUUCCAUAAUUAAUCAUGUGAGGGUCCGAGCCGCUCUUGACCGUGAGCACGGCUAGUAUACUAGUUUUACACUCUGCAGAGGUUGCGCAUCUUUACCCACAAGUCGUGUAUCCCAUGUCGCCUGGGUUUGCAAGGCCCUUAGACACUACCGAGGUGAAUGGCUAGGGAUCCACUACGAGGCCUUUACAAAGUUCCACUAGCUUCCGAAAACCCGCUACAGUUUAUGGGAAGAUCCAGUAAAGGGUUCCUGGCUGAUAGCCAUCGCAGCAAAAUCAACCAGGGACCUCCCCGCACUGACCUCUCCCCUACUGCCCUUGCCCCUUUCGGGUAAGGUAGUCUUCCACUAGCUUUCCUAAUUAGUCAGCCAAGGGCGUCCCAUUAAACCCUUGUGGUAGCACUGUUUUCCCGGGUGGUUCUCCAUGUUCCCAUUAAUUUAAUGAUCUUAACAUGAACAAUAAUAAUAACAAGUUAAUAACAGCAUAAUCAUGAAUAGUGUAUCUCCAUACCCAAUCCACAUAAAGCAAUAGCAAGUACUACCCAAAAAUAUUUCAGGGGUGAACAAGGUAUAGAGGUAAUCAAAACUGGGGUAACAUAAAGGCUCCCAUCAAAAUUAUCCUAUGCAGAUCAUUAAAAUUAAUAAGAACAUGGCUGGGAAAGUAAGUGAUCAAGGGCACAACUUGCCUUCAAUGAGCUCCUGCUCAGCUACCUCAACCAGCUGCUCACCAGGAUCCUCAGCAACGGGUUCUUCUACUCGCCACAAUACAAACAAUCACAGGAUAUAGGGAAAAUUAACAUUACACCAAGCAUAUAAACAAAAUACACAGAGAUAUUCUACAUAUUAAAAUAAAAUUCUAGGAACAGGAAUCAUAAUUUUUGGAGUUAUAGAAUUUAAGUUAUGCAUUUUCAAAGGUUUUAUGUGUUUAAAAAUAGGAUUAAGUGAGAAAUAAAUUUCUUACUGUUUUCAUGACAAAACAGAGGCUCUAGGUGAUAGAGAAUAAAACUACAAAAUUUUAGCAACUGGAAUGAAUUAAUUUGGACUUCAUAUACAUUUUCUAUGAAUUAUCAAAGUUCUAGCAAUUAUUUUCCUAUUGAAAAUCCAUUUAUAAAUUAUUUUCUCUGGUUUUACACUGCUCUGGACUGGGCCUCAAAAUCUGAGAACAGCAGGGGCCCAGGCGCUAAAGAUUCUAAGACUCAGAAUACUAUGUAGUGUACGGCGGGUUGAUUUCCCUAUUUCCCAGGGUCUCUUUUACAAAACGCGCGGCCGAAGGGGGACUAUCAGAUCUCGGUCGUUGGAUCAUAAGCGGACGGUGUAGAUUAGAUCAGUUUAAUCCCAAUCGGUACGCAAACGGAGCCCUCGGAUCUGAGAUCAAGGGUCCAAGUUUAUCGUACACGCGACUAGAUCCCAACCGCCCGACACUGAAUCGACGCCUCAGAUGCGCAGUUCGAAUCGGUACGCGUAGUUCUAAUCCUGGCCGUCACGCUAGGAUCGGAUGGCACAGAGGAUCUCUCCUUCCCUCGACGGCGGAGUACGGUGGUGUGCCCAGAGUACGGCGGUUCCUCGCCGGCGCCGCGCUAACCGCGAGCCCGAUGAGCAAACCACCCCGAGGAAUCGCGCAAAAUGAAAUUCACCUACUUGUUAUUUGGAUAGGGGGCGCCAUACCAAGAUUUGUCGAGGUGGUGAUGCCACCCACGAUGCAUCGCACAUUUGCGGCGGAAACGAAGCUCCAGCGGCGAAUUCAGGCCGCCCCCGCGGUCGAUCCUUCCUCGGAUGGCCGCGAAACCUUCAGUCGACAACCCGCAAAGCCCUUGGACACCACUCGAGUGACAGGCCUUUAGGCGAAGACGACUACGGCACUUGCAGACGAUUUCUACCCCGCCCCACUCUCUCUGCACACGCACGUUGUCAGGCCGGAGCUCCGAUAACUUGAUACGGAAAAGGGGAAACGCUUGGGGAGGUGCGGAUGGAGCGGAGGUCGGGCGAGGGGCUCGGCUUCGGCUAUUUGAAGGGUGGUUCACGUCCAGCUGAGCUCCACGCCGGCUGCAGAGGUU
RNAcentral lists this long non-coding RNA (8241 nucleotides) under Zea mays. RNAcentral describes it as "long non-coding RNA (ZMAY_LNC003634)". Lineage: Eukaryota; Viridiplantae; Streptophyta; Magnoliopsida; Poales; Poaceae. The record is from RNAcentral.